AGUGAACGCUGGCGGUAGGCCUAACACAUGCAAGUCGAACGGCAGCACAGUAAGAGCUUGCUCUUACGGGUGGCGAGUGGCGGACGGGUGAGGAAUACAUCGGAAUCUACUUUUUCGUGGGGGAUAACGUAGGGAAACUUACGCUAAUACCGCAUACGACCUACGGGUGAAAGCAGGGGAUCUUCGGACCUUGCGCGAUUGAAUGAGCCGAUGUCGGAUUAGCUAGUUGGCGGGGUAAAGGCCCACCAAGGCGACGAUCCGUAGCUGGUCUGAGAGGAUGAUCAGCCACACUGGAACUGAGACACGGUCCAGACUCCUACGGGAGGCAGCAGUGGGGAAUAUUGGACAAUGGGCGCAAGCCUGAUCCAGCCAUACCGCGUGGGUGAAGAAGGCCUUCGGGUUGUAAAGCCCUUUUGUUGGGAAAGAAGGGCAGCAGGUUAAUACCCCGCUGUUCUGACGGUACCCAAAGAAUAAGCACCGGCUAACUUCGUG
Molecule: ribosomal RNA, 492 nt
Filed under: uncultured bacterium
Lineage: Bacteria
Description: partial 16S ribosomal RNA
Rfam family: Bacterial small subunit ribosomal RNA
Source: RNAcentral